Scophthalmus maximus (turbot) is the source of this 109-nucleotide ribosomal RNA. Lineage: Eukaryota; Metazoa; Chordata; Actinopteri; Pleuronectiformes; Scophthalmidae. The record is from Ensembl.
GCUUACGGCCACACCGCCUGGUUCACGCCUGAUCUCGGAAGCUAAGAUAGGUUGGGCCUGGUUAGCACUUGGAUGGGAGACCACCUGGGAAUACCAGGUGCUGCAAGCU